GAUGAACGCUGGCGGCGUGCUUAACACAUGCAAGUCGAACGGCAGGGCCCUGCUUUUGUGCGCUGCUGGAGUGGCGAUCGGGUGAGUAACACGUGAGUAACCUGCCCUUGACUUUGGGAUAACUUAAGGAAACUGGGGUUAAUCCCGGAUAGCAGCUCCUGCUGCAUGGUGGGGGUUGGAAAGUUUCGGCGGUUGGGGAUGGACUCGCGGGUAAUCAGCUUGUUGGUGGGGUAGUGGCUUACCAAGGGUUUGGCGGGUAGCGGGCCUGGGGGGGUGUCCGGCCAAAUGGAGACGGGGAACCGGCCCGACCUCCUAGGGAGGCAGCAGUGGGGAAUCUUGGGCAAUGGGCGAAAGCCUGACGGAGCAACACCGCGUGGGUGAAGAAGGUCUUCGGAUCGUAAAACUCUGUUAUUAGGGAAGAACAGCAGUGGGUUAAUCCACGGACGUCUUGACGGUACCUAAACAAUAAGCCCCGGCUAACUACGUG
RNAcentral lists this ribosomal RNA (487 nucleotides) under uncultured bacterium. RNAcentral describes it as "partial 16S ribosomal RNA". It matches the Rfam family "Bacterial small subunit ribosomal RNA", at positions 28 to 507 of the family's 1533-position model. The record is from RNAcentral.